UAGUCCAUGCCGUAAACGGUGGGCGCUAGGUGUGGGUUUCCUUCCACGGGAUCCGUGCCGUAGCUAACGCAUUAAGCGCCCCGCCUGGGGAGUACGGCCGCAAGGCUAAAACUCAAAGGAAUUGACGGGGGCCCGCACAAGCGGCGGAGCAUGUGGAUUAAUUCGAUGCAACGCGAAGAACCUUACCUGGGCUUGACAUGCACUGGAUGCGGCCAGAGAUGGUUGUUCCCUUUGUGGCUGGUGUGC
This 246-nucleotide ribosomal RNA is filed under the name uncultured bacterium. RNAcentral describes it as "partial 16S ribosomal RNA". It matches the Rfam family "Bacterial small subunit ribosomal RNA", at positions 791 to 1035 of the family's 1533-position model. The record is from RNAcentral.